RNAcentral lists this ribosomal RNA (450 nucleotides) under uncultured bacterium. RNAcentral describes it as "bacterial SSU rRNA". It matches the Rfam family "Bacterial small subunit ribosomal RNA", at positions 354 to 796 of the family's 1533-position model. The record is from RNAcentral.
GUGGGGAAUUUUGGACAAUGGGCGAAAGCCUGAUCCAGCCAUGCCGCGUGCAGGAUGAAGGCCUUCGGGUUGUAAACUGCUUUUGUACGGAACGAAAAGACUCCUUCUAAUAAAGGGGGUCCAUGACGGUACCGUAAGAAUAAGCACAGGCUAACUACGUGCCAGCAGCCGCGGUAAUACGUAGGGUGCAAGCGUUAAUCGGAAUUACUGGGCGUAAAGCGUGCGCAGGCGGUUAUAUAAGACAGAUGUGAAAUCCCCGGGCUCAACCUGGGAACUGCAUUUGUGACUGUAUAGCUAGAGUACGGUAGAGGGGGAUGGAAUUCCGCGUGUAGCAGUGAAAUGCGUAGAUAUGCGGAGGAACACCGAUGGCGAAGGCAAUCCCCUGGACCUGUACUGACGCUCAUGCACGAAAGCGUGGGGAGCAAACAGGAUUAGAAACCCCAGUAGUCC